Molecule: ribosomal RNA, 484 nt
Filed under: uncultured bacterium
Lineage: Bacteria
Description: bacterial SSU rRNA
Rfam family: Bacterial small subunit ribosomal RNA
Source: RNAcentral
AUUGAACGCUGGCGGCAUGCUUUACACAUGCAAGUCGAACGGCAGCGCGGGGGCAACCCUGGCGGCGAGUGGCGAACGGGUGAGUAAUGCAUCGGAACGUAUCCUGUAAUGGGGGAUAACGUAGCGAAAGUUACGCUAAUACCGCAUACGCUCGGGAGAGGAAAGUGGGGGAUCGCAAGACCUCACGUUACAGGAGCGGCCGAUGUCCGAUUAGCUAGUUGGUGGGGUAAAGGCCUACCAAGGCGACGAUCGGUAGCUGGUCUGAGAGGAUGAUCAGCCACACUGGGACUGAGACACGGCCCAGACUCCUACGGGAGGCAGCAGUGGGGAAUUUUGGACAAUGGGCGAAAGCCUGAUCCAGCCAUGCCGCGUGCGGGAAGAAGGCCUUCGGGUUGUAAACUGCUUUUGUACGGAACGAAAAAGCUCUCUCUAAUACAGGGGGUGAAUGACGGUACCGUAAGAAUAAGCACCGGCUAACUACGUG